AUUUACUAUUUCUCUCUAUGGUGCCAUUAUUCACCUUGUCCCCGCAGUUGCAAUGUUGAAAUUAUCUUUGACUCCUCUCUCUCAUAUCUCAUAUUCAAUUAUCAAGUCCUAUUUGUUCCAACUUUGCAAAACCUCUUGAAUCCAUUCUCUCCUCUCCAUCAUUUCACUUCCAUAAUAUCCCUUAUUACUCCUAGACUACUGCAAAGGAUUCCUAACAGAUUUUCCCACCUCUAUUUUCUUCCUCCUACAGUCCAUUCUCCAUACCACCGACAGAAUGAUAUUCCUUACACACACAUCUGUCUCAUGUCAGUCGUCUCAAAAACUCAAGAAGGAUCAGAAGCCACACACUCUGGGCAAAAAAAAAAAAAAAAAAAAAACAAAAAAAACUCUUCCCACUCCAGCUAAAAAAAGUCCUCACCCUUAAAACCAGCCCAUAAUCCUUGAUUUAAAUCUCCUCACCCUGCCACUAGAGGCUAAUAUUGAGCACUCAGUUUUUGUUUAGUUUUGUUUUUCCCCCCUUUUCUGCUAACCUUUAUUAUGAUUAUUAUUAUUAUUAAAAAUUCUACAAUAGACAUAUGUCAUUAUCUGAACAUUGGUUUUAAAAUCAACAAGCAAGAAGUGGCCUUGGGAUAAUAGAAAGCAAAACACAAUUUCUCAAUUUCAAUCCAAUUCCUCUCUCCUAUUUGAUUCUGGGUCAGUCACUGUCUAGCUAUAUUACCUGUCUAAAAUAUAUAUGUACUGAAGGACUUAAUGGUUUUGUUUGUCAUUUUGGAUACCAUAAUGUGGGCAUAAACUUUCUUUUAGCACAAUAAGAUUGAGACAAAAUAUUUUCAGAACAGAAUCUCAGAGGGUAUAUAAAACUCAGCAAUCUUUUUGCUUCUUUAACACACUCUUAACAAUACUGUACUUGUUAGGUCAUGAUAGCAGAACUCAGUUUCUUGAAUAUCAGCUAUGUACAGUAGACAAAGGCAACAAUGUAGAGUAGAAAAUAGCCCUUUUUGUCUUUUCCAUUAUUAUUUAUGAUACCACUAAUUUAGCUGACUAGCUGAAUGCUUUAUCUUGCUGUAACCGAGUGUUAUUUAAAAGGAUAAUAUCAUCCCAGAGUUAAAAGGGACCUCAAAGGCCAUCCAAGCUAACCUAUACCCAAAUAAGAAUUCCCUGUAUAAUAAUCCAAAGAAGAAAUGAUCCUGCCUUUGCUUAAGGCCUCUAGGGAUGAAGGGGUACCCAAUGCCUCCUAAAACAGAUCAUUU
This 1250-nucleotide long non-coding RNA is filed under the name Monodelphis domestica (gray short-tailed opossum). RNAcentral's name for it is "lncRNA (ENSMODG00000039624.1)". The record is from RNAcentral. Lineage: Eukaryota; Metazoa; Chordata; Mammalia; Didelphimorphia; Didelphidae.